This is a long non-coding RNA of Xiphias gladius (swordfish), 2160 nucleotides long. RefSeq lists it as uncharacterized. Lineage: Eukaryota; Metazoa; Chordata; Actinopteri; Istiophoriformes; Xiphiidae. The transcript has 3 exons. The record is from RefSeq and is a predicted model, not a curated record.
CUGGAGUCCACCUGUGGUAACUUCAAUUGAUUGGACCUUAUUUGGAAAGGCACGCACCUGUCUAUUUGAGGUCUCACAGCUGACAAUACAUAUCAGAGCAAAAACCAAACCAUGAGGUCAGAGUAACUGCCUGCAGAGCUCACAGACAGGAUUGUGUUGAGUCACAGAUCUGGGGAAGGCUACAAAAAGAUUCUGCUGCAUCAAUGGUUCCCAAGAGCACAAUGGCCUCCGUAAUUCUUCAAUGGAAGAAGUCUGGAACAACCAGGUAUCUACCCAAAAGCUGGCCGUCUGACCAAAUUGAGCAAUCGAGGGAGAAGGGCCUUGGUAACAACGGUGACCAAGAACCCGAUGGCCACUCUGCCUGAGCUCCAGAGAUUCUGUGUUGAGAUGCGAAAAAUUUCUUGAUUGGCUCAGCCAAAGCCCUGACUUGAACCAAAUCAAAAAGCUCUGGACAAACCUGAAAAUGGCUGUCCACUGAUGGUCCCCAUCCAACCUGACAGAUCUUGAGAGGAUCUGCAGAUAAAAAUGGCAGAAAAUCCCCAAAUCCAGGUGCGAAGGGCUUCUUUGCAUCAUUUCCAAGAAGACUCUAGGCUCUAAUUGCUGCCAAAGUCAGGCGAUUCAUCAUCAUUCUCCCACUGAGGUGUAAUGGAACAGGCAGGGAGGGAGGACUGGAUGUUAAGCAAUGGUAUAGAAGACGAGAGAAAGGCAAUAGGAGAGUUGCUCCCAAAGGCUGUACAACCCAAGAACCCUGUGGGGAACACCAGCUGUGAUGGAAGCUAUCAAGUUCAAGAGGGUUCAAGCUUGGUUAGAUCAGGGAACCAGCAGACUGAGCAGACCUGAGGACCCCAGGUGCCCCAGGUGAGGAAGGAGUUAAGGAAGACGAUGGCGAAGGUCUCUCUGUCGGCCUCAAAGAGAGUCUGGCAAAGAAUAAAAAUAACUCAGGAAUGGGAAGCAGGGUUCAUCACAGGCUGUUCUCAGCAUUUGGAGGAACUCUGUGUUCUGACAGUGAUGAGGGAUAUUUUAAGGCAGUGGAAGGAACACAAUGAAGAACUCCUGACCUUGACCGAUAUGAGAAAAAGUUGCACAAUUUUGGGGACCCUUGGCUGAAGGCUUAAGGCUCUGGAUAUUGUUGAGCUAAUCUAGUGCUUUUUUAAUGUGACGUGGAGGUUGGCAACAGUGCAUGUGGAUUAGUUUAGUUUGGCUGUAUGGAGCAACACUCCCUGUAGAGACUGCCAUAGCAGAUCUUUAGACACCUUUUUAUUUUUUUCCAAAAACUGUUAUUUUUGAAGGCCUAAACCAAGGAUUUAAGGCAGGUGAAUACUCAACUUAUAUUUAUCAGGUGGGUAUGCCUGCUGCAUGUAUAACAUCCCCCUGUUACUCUGUUUCUGCUUGAUACUGUAUGUAGGUGAGCAAUUCUUUCCUAACAUGCUAGCCAUAGUCAUUUGAUGUGGGCUCUGUUGCACUCAGUGGGAAAUUUUGGUCAACAAGUUCGAUUACAGCUAGACUAUGUAUAAAUUACCUUAGAGAGAGUUUAGCCACCACAUCUCAUGGUGUGACAGGGGAGGUGUAAUACUUUAUAAAGCUUUAUAUUCCAGCUCCUUGCAAAUAUCCCAUGUGUUAAUUAAAUGAGUAAAAAGUGCAGUGGCCUGUGUCCUAAAUUAAUUGCUUUCUAUUAGAUUACAUUAUUGUAGAUAGACCAAGCCAUAUUAUUAACAUUGUUGUACAGUCUCCUACAUUCAAUUUCCUUGAACAUUAUUAUUGAGAGAAAUCACUCUCUCUUUCUCAUGCUGUCUCCCUCUCUUUCUUCCUUCUCAAGAUUGUUCCAAAUUUCUGUCAUGGUGCAUUCUGCUCGGUUAAUUAAAGGGGGCUAAAGUGCAGUGGCCUGUAUCCUAUUGCCAUCAAAAUCCAUAACUUAGAGAGAAAACAUUUACAUUAACUUGCCAUUAAUACCGCCUAUGCCGACUUUUCAAUUCCCGCUAAGUACGAUCUUACACAAUAAUUGCUGUUGCCUGUAAGACAAAAAGGCGAGGAGGUCCAUGAGGGGGACAAGAAAAAAAAUUGAUGCUACUGUUAAUUAAAUGAAUAAAAGUGCACCAGGCUGUGUCUUGGAAAACAGCUUUGAGUAAUAAAAAUAUAGCCAACAAUCUCUCCCUCUCCUUC